This 253-nucleotide ribosomal RNA is filed under the name uncultured bacterium. RNAcentral's name for it is "partial 16S ribosomal RNA". It matches the Rfam family "Bacterial small subunit ribosomal RNA", at positions 524 to 776 of the family's 1533-position model. The record is from RNAcentral.
UACAGAGGUCUCAAGCGUUGUUCGGAUUCAUUGGGCGUAAAGGGCGCGUAGGCUGCGGGGCAAGUCGGGUGUGAAAUCUCAGAGCUCAACUCCAGAACUGCCUUUGAUACUGGCGAUCUCGAGUCCGGGAGAGGUGAGUGGAACUGCGAGUGUAGAGGUGAAAUUCGUAGAUAUUCGCAAGAACACCGGUGGUGUAGACGGCUCACUGGACCGUAACUGACGCUGAGACACGAAAGCGUGGGUAGCAAACAGG